CAGUACAGUGAAAAGACAGCCUUUUGAAGAAAACAAGUUUGUGGAAAGUGCUUAAUUAAGCAGGACACUGGCAUUUAUUUUUGACAUUUAUGAGACGAGAAAUGGUCACAGAAAACUAGAUGACUUUGCUUCACAAACAUACUGAAAACAAACAAGGAGCAUCAUUCCCACCAAGUGCUGAAGCAGCAUAUACUUUAAUGCCUUAUUUUGGUCGAGCCAAUAUUUUGGUCAAGUGAUAAUGGGUAAAAAAUAAUUUAAUACUAUACCAUUGAUUUUACUGAUAAGACAAAGCAA
Molecule: long non-coding RNA, 294 nt
Filed under: Homo sapiens (human)
Lineage: Eukaryota; Metazoa; Chordata; Mammalia; Primates; Hominidae
Description: HSALNT0057558
Source: RNAcentral